GUUUGUGCUUGUGAUGAUGAAAAGUCUUUCCCCAACUUAUCGACAAAUGAAGAUAUUGGUGCUACUUUAAGCCAGAAUUUUCUGAUGCAAGCAUUAAC
This is a small nucleolar RNA of Ylistrum balloti, 98 nucleotides long. RefSeq annotates it as small nucleolar SNORD12/SNORD106. The record is from RefSeq and is a predicted model, not a curated record. Lineage: Eukaryota; Metazoa; Mollusca; Bivalvia; Pectinida; Pectinidae. The transcript has a single exon.